This 240-nucleotide ribosomal RNA is filed under the name uncultured Syntrophus sp. Its description in RNAcentral is "partial 16S ribosomal RNA". It matches the Rfam family "Bacterial small subunit ribosomal RNA", at positions 1146 to 1382 of the family's 1533-position model. Lineage: Bacteria; Pseudomonadati; Thermodesulfobacteriota; Syntrophia; Syntrophales; Syntrophaceae. The record is from RNAcentral.
AGACUGCCGGUGUUAAACCGGAGGAAGGUGGGGAUGACGUCAAGUCCUCAUGGCCUUUAUGCCCAGGGCUACACACGUGCUACAAUGGGUGGUACAAAGAGCAGCCAGCUCGCGAGAGUGAGCAAAUCUCAAAAAAGACCAUCCUCAGUUCGGAUUGAAGUCUGCAACUCGACUUCAUGAAGUUGGAAUCGCUGGUAAUCGCGGAUCAGCAUGCCGCGGUCGAAUACGUUCCCGGGCCUU